CCUACGGGGGGCUGCAGUGGGGAAUAUUGGACAAUGGGCGCAAGCCUGAUCCAGCCAUGCCGCGUGAGUGAUGAAGGCCUUCGGGUUGUAAAGCUCUUUUGGCGGGGACGAUGAUGACGGUACCCGCAGAAUAAGCCCCGGCAAACUUCGUGCCAGCAGCCGCGGUAAGACGAAGGGGGCAAGCGUUUUUCGGAAUUACUGGGCGUAAAGGGCGCGUAGGCGGUCCUUUUAGUCGGACGUGAAAGCCCUGGGCUGAACCUGGGAGGUGCGUUCGAUACUGGGGGACUUGAGAGUGGGAGAGGUUGGUGGAAGUCCCAGUGUAGAGGUGAAAUUCGUAGAUAUUGGGAAGAACACCGGUGGCGAAGGCGGCCAACUGGACCAUUUCUGACGCUGAGGCGCGAAAGCGUGGGGAGCAAACAGGAGUAGAUACCCUAGUAGUC
Molecule: ribosomal RNA, 440 nt
Filed under: uncultured bacterium
Lineage: Bacteria
Description: partial 16S ribosomal RNA
Rfam family: Bacterial small subunit ribosomal RNA
Source: RNAcentral